RNAcentral lists this ribosomal RNA (467 nucleotides) under uncultured bacterium. Its description in RNAcentral is "partial 16S ribosomal RNA". It matches the Rfam family "Bacterial small subunit ribosomal RNA", at positions 28 to 506 of the family's 1533-position model. The record is from RNAcentral.
GACGAACGCUGGCGGCGUGCUUAACACAUGCAAGUCGAACGGAAAGGCCCUGCUUUUGUGGGGUGCUCGAGUGGCGAACGGGUGAGUAACACGUGAGUAACCUGCCCUUGACUUUGGGAUAAUUUCAGGAAACUGGGGCUAAUACCGGAUAGGAGCUCCUGCUGCAUGGUGGGGGUUGGAAAGUUUCGGCGGUUGGGGAUGGACUCGCGGCUUAUCAGCUUGUUGGUGGGGUAGUGGCUUACCAAGGCUUUGACGGGUAGCCGGCCUGAGAGGGUGACCGGCCACAUUGGGACUGAGAUACGGCCCAGACUCCUACGGGAGGCAGCAGUGGGGAAUAUUGCACAAUGGGCGGAAGCCUGAUGCAGCAACGCCGCGUGCGGGAUGACGGCCUUCGGGUGGUAAACCGCUUUCGCCUGUGACGAAGCGUGAGUGACGGUAAUGGGGAAAGAAGCACCGGCUAACUACGU